GGCUGAUAGCACAAUGGUUAGAUCGUUAGACUAUGGCGCGGGCAACCUGGGUUCAAAUCCCAGGUGCGCUG
Molecule: non-coding RNA, 71 nt
Organism: Gymnothorax javanicus (giant moray)
Lineage: Eukaryota; Metazoa; Chordata; Actinopteri; Anguilliformes; Muraenidae
Source: the annotation of a GenBank genome assembly